GACGUAGGUGGCGAACGUUAUCCGGAAUUAUUGGGCGUAAAGGGUGCGUAGGUGGUCUGAUAAGUUAUCAGUGGCAAAUCGAGGCUCAACCUCGUGGAAACUGGUAAUACUGUCCGGCUUGAGUGCAGGAGAGGUUAACGGAACUCUAUGUGGAGCGGUAAAAUGCACAGAUAUAUAGAAGAACAUCAAUAACGGCGAAGGCAGUUAACUAUUCUGUUACUGACACUGAGGCACGAAAGCGUGGGGAGCAAAACGG
Molecule: ribosomal RNA, 256 nt
Filed under: uncultured bacterium
Lineage: Bacteria
Description: partial 16S ribosomal RNA
Rfam family: Bacterial small subunit ribosomal RNA
Source: RNAcentral